UUAAGCGACUAAGCGUACACGGUGGAUGCCCUGGCAGUCAGAGGCGAUGAAGGACGUGCUAAUCUGCGAUAAGCGUCGGUAAGGUGAUAUGAACCGUUAUAACCGGCGAUUUCCGAAUGGGGAAACCCAGUGUGAUUCGUCACACUAUCAUUAACUGAAUCCAUAGGUUAAUGAGGCGAACCGGGGGAACUGAAACAUCUAAGUACCCCGAGGAAAAGAAAUCAACCGAGAUUCCCCCAGUAGCGGCGAGCGAACGGGGAGCAGCCCAGAGCCUGAAUCAGUGUGUGUGUUAGUGGAAGCGUCUGGAAAGGCGCGCGAUACAGGGUGACAGCCCCGUACACAAAAAUGCACAUACUGUGAGCUCGAUGAGUAGGGCGGGACACGUGGUAUCCUGUCUGAAUAUGGGGGGACCAUCCUCCAAGGCUAAAUACUCCUGACUGACCGAUAGUGAACCAGUACCGUGAGGGAAAGGCGAAAAGAACCCCGGCGAGGGGAGUGAAAAAGAACCUGAAACCGUGUACGUACAAGCAGUGGGAGCACGCUUAGGCGUGUGACUGCGUACCUUUUGUAUAAUGGGUCAGCGACUUAUAUUCUGUAGCAAGGUUAACCGAAUAGGGGAGCCGAAGGGAAACCGAGUCUUAACUGGGCGUUAAGUUGCAGGGUAUAGACCCGAAACCCGGUGAUCUAGCCAUGGGCAGGUUGAAGGUUGGGUAACACUAACUGGAGGACCGAACCGACUAAUGUUGAAAAAUUAGCGGAUGACUUGUGGCUGGGGGUGAAAGGCCAAUCAAACCGGGAGAUAGCUGGUUCUCCCCGAAAGCUAUUUAGGUAGCGCCUCGUGAAUUCAUCUCCGGGGGUAGAGCACUGUUUCGGCAAGGGGGUCAUCCCGACUUACCAACCCGAUGCAAACUGCGAAUACCGGAGAAUGUUAUCACGGGAGACACACGGCGGGUGCUAACGUCCGUCGUGAAGAGGGAAACAACCCAGACCGCCAGCUAAGGUCCCAAAGUCAUGGUUAAGUGGGAAACGAUGUGGGAAGGCCCAGACAGCCAGGAUGUUGGCUUAGAAGCAGCCAUCAUUUAAAGAAAGCGUAAUAGCUCACUGGUCGAGUCGGCCUGCGCGGAAGAUGUAACGGGGCUAAACCAUGCACCGAAGCUGCGGCAGCGACGCUGAUGCGUUGUUGGGUAGGGGAGCGUUCUGUAAGCCUGCGAAGGUGUGCUGUGAGGCAUGCUGGAGGUAUCAGAAGUGCGAAUGCUGACAUAAGUAACGAUAAAGCGGGUGAAAAGCCCGCUCGCCGGAAGACCAAGGGUUCCUGUCCAACGUUAAUCGGGGCAGGGUGAGUCGACCCCUAAGGCGAGGCCGAAAGGCGUAGUCGAUGGGAAACAGGUUAAUAUUCCUGUACUUGGUGUUACUGCGAAGGGGGGACGGAGAAGGCUAUGUUGGCCGGGCGACGGUUGUCCCGGUUUAAGCGUGUAGGCUGGUUUUCCAGGCAAAUCCGGAAAAUCAAGGCUGAGGCGUGAUGACGAGGCACUACGGUGCUGAAGCAACAAAUGCCCUGCUUCCAGGAAAAGCCUCUAAGCAUCAGGUAACAUCAAAUCGUACCCCAAACCGACACAGGUGGUCAGGUAGAGAAUACCAAGGCGCUUGAGAGAACUCGGGUGAAGGAACUAGGCAAAAUGGUGCCGUAACUUCGGGAGAAGGCACGCUGAUAUGUAGGUGAAGUCCCUCGCGGAUGGAGCUGAAAUCAGUCGAAGAUACCAGCUGGCUGCAACUGUUUAUUAAAAACACAGCACUGUGCAAACACGAAAGUGGACGUAUACGGUGUGACGCCUGCCCGGUGCCGGAAGGUUAAUUGAUGGGGUUAGCGCAAGCGAAGCUCUUGAUCGAAGCCCCGGUAAACGGCGGCCGUAACUAUAACGGUCCUAAGGUAGCGAAAUUCCUUGUCGGGUAAGUUCCGACCUGCACGAAUGGCGUAAUGAUGGCCAGGCUGUCUCCACCCGAGACUCAGUGAAAUUGAACUCGCUGUGAAGAUGCAGUGUACCCGCGGCAAGACGGAAAGACCCCGUGAACCUUUACUAUAGCUUGACACUGAACAUUGAGCCUUGAUGUGUAGGAUAGGUGGGAGGCUUUGAAGUGUGGACGCCAGUCUGCAUGGAGCCGACCUUGAAAUACCACCCUUUAAUGUUUGAUGUUCUAACGUGGACCCGUAAUCCGGGUUGCGGACAGUGUCUGGUGGGUAGUUUGACUGGGGCGGUCUCCUCCUAAAGAGUAACGGAGGAGCACGAAGGUUGGCUAAUCCUGGUCGGACAUCAGGAGGUUAGUGCAAUGGCAUAAGCCAGCUUGACUGCGAGCGUGACGGCGCGAGCAGGUGCGAAAGCAGGUCAUAGUGAUCCGGUGGUUCUGAAUGGAAGGGCCAUCGCUCAACGGAUAAAAGGUACUCCGGGGAUAACAGGCUGAUACCGCCCAAGAGUUCAUAUCGACGGCGGUGUUUGGCACCUCGAUGUCGGCUCAUCACAUCCUGGGGCUGAAGUAGGUCCCAAGGGUAUGGCUGUUCGCCAUUUAAAGUGGUACGCGAGCUGGGUUUAGAACGUCGUGAGACAGUUCGGUCCCUAUCUGCCGUGGGCGCUGGAGAAUUGAGGGGGGCUGCUCCUAGUACGAGAGGACCGGAGUGGACGCAUCACUGGUGUUCGGGUUGUCAUGCCAAUGGCACUGCCCGGUAGCUAAAUGCGGAAGAGAUAAGUGCUGAAAGCAUCUAAGCACGAAACUUGCCCCGAGAUGAGUUCUCCCUGACUCCUUGAGAGUCCUGAAGGAACGUUGAAGACGACGACGUUGAUAGGCCGGGUGUGUAAGCGCAGCGAUGCGUUGAGCUAACCGGUACUAAUGAACCGUGAGGCUUAACCUU
This 2902-nucleotide ribosomal RNA is filed under the name Escherichia coli. RNAcentral describes it as "bacterial LSU rRNA". It matches the Rfam family "Bacterial large subunit ribosomal RNA". The record is from RNAcentral. Lineage: Bacteria; Pseudomonadati; Pseudomonadota; Gammaproteobacteria; Enterobacterales; Enterobacteriaceae.